GAUGAACGCUGGCGGCGUGCCUAAUACAUGCAAGUAGAACGCACAGUUUAUACCGUAGCUUGCUACACCAUAAACUGUGAGUUGCGAACGGGUGAGUAACGCGUAGGUAACCUGCCUGGUAGCGGGGGAUAACUAUUGGAAACGAUAGCUAAUACCGCAUAAUAUUGAUUAUUGCAUGAUAAUUGAUUGAAAGAUGCUAUUGCAUCACUACCAGAUGGACCUGCGUUGUAUUAGCUAGUAGGUGAGGUAACGGCUCACCUAGGCGACGAUACAUAGCCGACCUGAGAGGGUGAUCGGCCACACUGGGACUGAGACACGGCCCAGACUCCUACGGGAGGCAGCAGUAGGGAAUCUUCGGCAAUGGACGAAAGUCUGACCGAGCAACGCCGCGUGAGUGAAGAAGGUUUUCGGAUCGUAAAGCUCUGUUGUAAGAGAAGAACGGGUGUGAGAGUGGAAAGUUCACACUGUGACGGUAUCUUACCAGAAAGGGACGGCUAACUACGUG
RNAcentral lists this ribosomal RNA (505 nucleotides) under uncultured bacterium. Its description in RNAcentral is "partial 16S ribosomal RNA". It matches the Rfam family "Bacterial small subunit ribosomal RNA", at positions 28 to 507 of the family's 1533-position model. The record is from RNAcentral.